Molecule: ribosomal RNA, 158 nt
Filed under: uncultured soil bacterium
Lineage: Bacteria
Description: partial 16S ribosomal RNA
Rfam family: Bacterial small subunit ribosomal RNA
Source: RNAcentral
AGAUUGAACGCUGGCGGCAUGCCUUACACAUGCAAGUCGAACGGCAGCACGGGAGCAAUCCUGGUGGCGAGUGGCGAACGGGUGAGUAAUAUAUCGGAACGUGCCCAGUCGUGGGGGAUAACGCAGCGAAAGCUGUGCUAAUACCGCAUACGAUCUCU